RNAcentral lists this ribosomal RNA (253 nucleotides) under uncultured bacterium. Its description in RNAcentral is "partial 16S ribosomal RNA". It matches the Rfam family "Bacterial small subunit ribosomal RNA", at positions 524 to 776 of the family's 1533-position model. The record is from RNAcentral.
UACAGAGGGGGCAAGCGUUGCUCGGAUUGACUGGGCGUAAAGGGCGCGUAGGCGGUUCGUACAGUCAGACGUGAAAUUCCUGGGCUCAACCUGGGGGCUGCGUUUGAUACGUGCGGACUUGAGUGCGGAAGAGGGUCGUGGAAUUCCCAGUGUAGAGGUGAAAUUCGUAGAUAUUGGGAAGAACACCGGUGGCGAAGGCGGCGACCUGGUCCGAUACUGACGCUGAGGCGCGAAAGCGUGGGGAGCAAACAGG